Molecule: long non-coding RNA, 632 nt
Filed under: Mytilus galloprovincialis (Mediterranean mussel)
Lineage: Eukaryota; Metazoa; Mollusca; Bivalvia; Mytilida; Mytilidae
Source: RNAcentral
GUCCGUCCGUCCGUCUGUCCAGCGUAAACAUGUCGCACCGUAACUUGAGAACGACUUAUCCAAAUUUCAUGAAACUUAACAUAGUUGUUUUUUAUGAUGGUCAAAUGAUCUGUAUACUUUUUGGGGAAAAUAAGAUUAAAACUUUUUGAUUUACGGCACUUUGUAACUAAAACAGGGGUGUGUUUUUUUCACAUGUCGCACCGUAUCUCAAAAACGAUUCUUGAUUAUGGCUUAAAACUUUAAACACUUCUUAGUUAUAUUAAUCUUAAUAUCUGUAUACUUUUUGGUGAUGAUUCAAAAUUUUAUUUUUGAGUUAUUGAGUAUUUUGUAAAAAAGGGGGAGGGUUUUUUUACAUGUCGCACCAUAUCUCAAAAACGAUUUAUGAUUAUUGCUUAAAACUUUACACAUGUCUUUGUUAUAUUAAUCUGAAGAUCUGUAUACUUUUUGGUGAUGAUUCAAAAUUUCAUUUUUGAGUUAUUGAGUAUUUUGUAAAAAAAGGGGAGGGUUUUUUUUACAUGUUGUGCCGUAUCUCAAAGACAAUUUAUGAUUAUUGCUUAAAACUUUACACACUUCUUUGUUAUAUUAAUCUAAAGAUCUGUAUACUUUUUGGUGAUGAUUCAAAACUUUAUUUU